UACGUAGGGUGCGAGCGUUGUCCGGAAUUAUUGGGCGUAAAGAGCUCGUAGGCGGUCUGUCGCGUCGAAUGUGAAAACCCGGGGCUCAACUCCGGGCUUGCAUUCGAUACGGGCAGGCUAGAGUUCGGUAGGGGAGUCUGGAAUUCCUGGUGUAGCGGUGAAAUGCGUAGAUAUCGGAAGGAACAUCAGUGGCGAAAGCGACUUCCUGGACCAGUACCGACGUUCAGGCACGAAAGCGUGGGGAGCAAACAGG
Molecule: ribosomal RNA, 253 nt
Filed under: uncultured bacterium
Lineage: Bacteria
Description: partial 16S ribosomal RNA
Rfam family: Bacterial small subunit ribosomal RNA
Source: RNAcentral